RNAcentral lists this ribosomal RNA (604 nucleotides) under Wolbachia endosymbiont of Aedes albopictus. Its description in RNAcentral is "bacterial SSU rRNA". It matches the Rfam family "Bacterial small subunit ribosomal RNA", at positions 154 to 792 of the family's 1533-position model. Lineage: Bacteria; Pseudomonadati; Pseudomonadota; Alphaproteobacteria; Rickettsiales; Anaplasmataceae. The record is from RNAcentral.
AAACGGCAACUAAUACCGUAUACKCCCUACGGGGGAAAAAUUUAUUGCUAUUAGAUGAGCCUAUAUUAGAUUAGCUAGUUGGUGGAGUAAUAGCCUACCAAGGCAAUGAUCUAUAGCUGAUCUGAGAGGAUGAUCAGCCACACUGGAACUGAGAUACGGUCCAGACUCCUACGGGAGGCAGCAGUGGGGAAUAUUGGACAAUGGGCGAAAGCCUGAUCCAGCCAUGCCGCAUGAGUGAAGAAGGCCUUUGGGUUGUAAAGCUCUUUUAGUGAGGAAGAUAAUGACGGUACUCACAGAAGAAGUCCUGGCUAACUCCGUGCCAGCAGCCGCGGUAAUACGGAGAGGGCUAGCGUUAUUCGGAAUUAUUGGGCGUAAAGGGCGCGUAGGCUGGUUAAUAAGUUAAAAGUGAAAUCCCGAGGCUUAACCUUGGAAUUGCUUUUAAAACUAUUAAUCUAGAGAUUGAAAGAGGAUAGAGGAAUUCCUGAUGUAGAGGUAAAAUUCGUAAAUAUUAGGAGGAACACCAGUGGCGAAGGCGUCUAUCUGGUUCAAAUCUGACGCUGAAGCGCGAAGGCGUGGGGAGCAAACAGGAUUAGAUACCCUGGUA